RNAcentral lists this ribosomal RNA (301 nucleotides) under uncultured bacterium. RNAcentral's name for it is "partial 16S ribosomal RNA". It matches the Rfam family "Bacterial small subunit ribosomal RNA", at positions 509 to 807 of the family's 1533-position model. The record is from RNAcentral.
CAGCCGCCGCGGUAAUACGAAGGGGGCUAGCGUUGUUCGGAAUUACUGGGCGUAAAGCGCACGUAAGCGGAUAUUUAAGUCAGGGGUGAAAUCCCAGAGCUCAACUCUGGAACUGCCUUUGAUACUGGGUAUCUUGAGUAUGGAAGAGGUGAGUGGAAUUCCGAGUGUAGAGGUGAAAUUCGUAGAUAUUCGGAGGAACACCAGUGGCGAAGGCGGCUCACUGGUCCAUUACUGACGCUGAGGUGCGAAAGCGUGGGGAGCAAACAGGAUUAGAUACCCGCGUAGUCCCUGUCUCUUAUAC